AGUGGGAUAGCUGGGUCAAAUAGUGGUUCCAUUCUUAGAUUUCUGAGCAAUCUCCAUACUUCUUUCCAGAGUGAUUGCACUAAUUUGCAGUCCCACCAGCAAU
RNAcentral lists this microRNA precursor (103 nucleotides) under Marmota monax (woodchuck). Lineage: Eukaryota; Metazoa; Chordata; Mammalia; Rodentia; Sciuridae. The record is from RNAcentral.